GACGAACGCUGGCGGCGUGCUUAACACAUGCAAGUCGAGCGGUAAGGCCCUUUCGGGGUACGACGAGCGGCGAACGGGUGAGUAACGACGUGGGUGACCUGCCUCAGCUCUGGGAUAAGCCUAGGGAAACUGGGUCUAAUACUGGAUAUGACUCCAUGACGCAUGUUGUGGGUGGAAAGCCUUGUGCGGCUGAGGAUGGG
Molecule: ribosomal RNA, 200 nt
Filed under: uncultured bacterium
Lineage: Bacteria
Description: partial 16S ribosomal RNA
Rfam family: Bacterial small subunit ribosomal RNA
Source: RNAcentral